Molecule: ribosomal RNA, 897 nt
Filed under: uncultured bacterium
Lineage: Bacteria
Description: bacterial SSU rRNA
Rfam family: Bacterial small subunit ribosomal RNA
Source: RNAcentral
UUAGAGUUUGAUCCUGGCUCAGGACGAACGCUGGCGGCGUGCCUAACACAUGCAAGUCGAACGGAAAUACAGAAAGCUUGCUUUUUGUAUUUUAGUGGCGGACGGGUGAGUAACGCGUGAGUAACCUGCCCAUUAGAGGGGGAUAACGUUUGGAAACAGACGCUAAUACCGCAUAAAAUCACAUGACCGCAUGGUCGAGUGAUCAAAGGAGCAAUCCGUUGAUGGAUGGACUCGCGUCCGAUUAGCCAGUUGGCGGGGUAAAGGCCCACCAAAGCAACGAUCGGUAGCCGGACUGAGAGGUUGAACGGCCACAUUGGGACUGAGACACGGCCCAGACUCCUACGGGAGGCAGCAGUGGGGGAUAUUGCACAAUGGGGGAAACCCUGAUGCAGCAACGCCGCGUGAGGGAAGAAGGUUUUCGGAUUGUAAACCUCUGUCCUUGGUGAAGAUAAUGACGGUAGCCAAGGAGGAAGCUCCGGCUAACUACGUGCCAGCAGCCGCGGUAAUACGUAGGGAGCGAGCGUUGUCCGGAAUUACUGGGUGUAAAGGGUGCGUAGGCGGCAAAUCAAGUCAGAUGUGAAAUACCGAGGCUUAACCUCGGAGCUGCAUUUGAAACUGAAUUGCUUGAGUGAAGUAGAGGCAAGCGGAAUUCCCGGUGUAGCGGUGAAAUGCGUAGAGAUCGGGAGGAACACCAGUGGCGAAGGCGGCUUGCUAGGCUUCAACUGACGCUGAGGCACGAAAGCGUGGGUAGCAAACAGGAUUAGAUACCCUGGUAGUCCACGCUGUAAACGAUGAUUACUAGGUGUGGGCGGAUAGACCGUCCGUGCCGGAGUUAACACAAUAAGUAAUCCACCUGGGGAGUACGACCGCAAGGUUGAAACUCAAAGGAAUUGACGG